UUUGAGUGGGAAUCUGGUCCGGGGUCAGGGGCGGGGGUGGGGGUGGGGAAGAGUGUAUAUCUGCUCAUGAAUCCUAGAGCAAUAUACUUAACACCUUGUGGUGUGUUAAUAUUAAUGUGGAGGCAUUUGUUUGUCUAUGUUCACAGCAUCCUUGGGACUUUACCCCAUAGGUAUCAGAUAUCAGGAACUGCCUCGCUCAACAUGCAACUAUGAGUUAUAUACAUACAUAGCGAUCCUUGAAUACAUUUAUCAGAUCUUAUCAUCAUUCAACUGUUUUAAGAAAAAAAAACAGAAAAAAAAACGUCUCAAUUGUACCUCGGGGGACAAAUCAAACCACAAGCUAACAUAUGGGUGAGCGGUUAGACUAACACCAAGUAUGUUAAGUUGGUGAGAGAGAGUUCAGUAAAAAGUGAGUCCGAGAGGCAGUUAGGACUGACUAAAGAAUAUACAUUUUCAAAUAUCUUACUAAUAUCCUUUAUUUCCCCCCAAAUUAGGAUUAUCUGUAUUUAAAAUCUUGCUGUCUUAUUUUGUAUUCUUAUUUUUCACUUACCUGUUGACUCCUUAGAACUGAUUUAGUGCUUAAAUACAUUUUUCCAAAAACCUACAAAACCAUGAAGGUAAGUUUUUCGGUAUCCAAUAUGGUGCUUUAUCUCCAUCACUAAAUGCCACGUCUGCUUUAUGAGCAGGUGGUUUACAACUUAUUAUAGUUAGUUCAUAUUAAUAUUACAUUAUUUGAAUUGUAUUAUUUGCAAUGUGUUUAUGAAUUGCCUCACCGUCAUUCAUGAAUUAUAUUAUUUUAUAUUUACAUAAUCUGCAGUAAAAGUAUUUACAAUUUUCACGAUCAUUUAAAAAUACUUCAGAUUUUAGAUAGAUCUCUUUAAGCGAAUUCUAACUACGAAAAUUUAAGUAAACGUAAGGGAGAAACACUCACAAUACAAUUAUUAUUCAGGAUUCUUGGUCUCAAACAUUGUUAAAAAUAGAUGAUAUUGACUGGGUUGAACCGCUGAAGAAGAGCCAUACACAUGAGGUUCUGUUAUUGAUGAAGGGCUACAUGGUAUUAAAGUGAAAGAGAAGGAACCGCUUCGUUGUGUUUCUGGGUGUCGGUGUUUGAACUCAGGGUUACAGACAUCAAAGUCAGAAAGACAUGCUGGACAAGAAAUUGCAAACAUGAACAGCGUGAUCAAUGUAGUGACUCAUGGUUACCUGGCCAUAAGACAAUACAAAAGAGAAAUCCUUCUAUUCGCUCUUAAUAAAUGGAUUUUCUGCCUAGCA
This 1272-nucleotide long non-coding RNA is filed under the name Felis catus (domestic cat). RNAcentral's name for it is "lncRNA (ENSFCAG00000050305.1)". The record is from RNAcentral. Lineage: Eukaryota; Metazoa; Chordata; Mammalia; Carnivora; Felidae.